This 482-nucleotide ribosomal RNA is filed under the name uncultured bacterium. RNAcentral's name for it is "partial 16S ribosomal RNA". It matches the Rfam family "Bacterial small subunit ribosomal RNA", at positions 28 to 507 of the family's 1533-position model. The record is from RNAcentral.
GAUGAACGCUCGCGGCAGGCCUAAUACAUGCAAGUCGGACGGGAUUCAGGAGCUUGCUUCUGAUGAGAGUGGCGCACGGGUGCGUAACACGUAUGUAACCUACCUUUAUCAGGGGGAUAGCCUCUCGAAAGAGAGAUUAAGCCCGCAUAAAAUCACAGCACAGCAUUGUGUAAUGAUCAAAUAUUUAUAGGAUAAAGAUGGGCAUGCGGAACAUUAGCUAGAUGGCGGGGUAACGGCCCACCAUGGCGACGAUGUUUAGGGGAUCUGAGAGGAUGGCCCCCCACACUGGUACUGAGACACGGACCAGACUCCUACGGGAGGCAGCAGUAAGGAAUAUUGGUCAAUGGGCGGAAGCCUGAACCAGCCAUGCCGCGUGCAGGAAGACGGCCCUACGGGUUGUAAACUGCCUUUAUACGGGAAUAAACCCAGAUACGUGUAUCUGGCUGAAUGUACUGUAAGAAUAAGGAUCGGCUAACUCCGUG